This 618-nucleotide ribosomal RNA is filed under the name Gymnopilus sp. UBC F16585 SG220806_2. Its description in RNAcentral is "eukaryotic LSU rRNA". It matches the Rfam family "Eukaryotic large subunit ribosomal RNA", at positions 1 to 622 of the family's 3401-position model. The record is from RNAcentral. Lineage: Eukaryota; Fungi; Basidiomycota; Agaricomycetes; Agaricales; Galerinaceae.
UUUGACCUCAAAUCAGGUAGGACUACCCGCUGAACUUAAGCAUAUCAAUAAGCGGAGGAAAAGAAACUAACAAGGAUUCCCUUAGUAACUGCGAGUGAAGCGGGAAAAGCUCAAAUUUAAAAGCUGGCAGUCUUCGAUUGUCCGCAUUGUAAUCUAGAGAAGUGUUACCCGCGUUGGACCGUGUAUAAGUCUCCUGGAAUGGAGCGUCGUAGAGGGUGACAAUCCCGUCUUUGACACGGAUAACCAAGGCUUUUGUGGUGCGCUCUCAAAGAGUCGAGUUGUUUGGGAAUGCAGCUCAAAAUGGGUGGUAAAUUCCAUCUAAAGCUAAAUAUUGGCGAGAGACCGAUAGCGAACAAGUACCGUGAGGGAAAGAUGAAAAGAACUUUGGAAAGAGAGUUAAAUAGUACGUGAAAUUGCUGAAAGGGAAACGCUUGAAGUCAGUCGCGUUAACUUUGAGAUCAACUCAGCUUAUGUUGGGUUUAUUCUCUUAUUGACGGGUCAGCAUCAGUUUUGAUCAUUGGAAAAGGGUGAAGGGAAUGUGGCAUCUUCGGAUGUGUUAUAGUCCUUCAUCAUAUACAUUGGUUGAGACUGAGGAACUCAGCACGCCGCAAGGCCGGG